GAUGAACGCUGGCGGCGUGCCUAAUACAUGCAAGUCGAGCGAACAGACGAGGAGCUUGCUCCUCUGACGUUAGCGGCGGACGGGUGAGUAACACGUGGAUAACCCACCUAUAAGACUGGGAUAACUUCGGGAAACCGGAGCUAAUACCGGAUAAUAUAUUGAACCGCAUGGUUCAAUAGUGAAAGACGGUUUUGCUGUCACUUAUAGAUGGAUCCGCGCCGCAUUAGCUAGUUGGUAAGGUAACGGCUUACCAAGGCAACGAUGCGUAGCCGACCUGAGAGGGUGAUCGGCCACACUGGAACUGAGACACGGUCCAGACUCCUACGGGAGGCAGCAGUAGGGAAUCUUCCGCAAUGGGCGAAAGCCUGACGGAGCAACGCCGCGUGAGUGAUGAAGGUCCUCGGAUCGUAAAACUCUGUUAUUAGGGAAGAACAAAUGUGUAAGUAACUAUGCACGUCUUGACGGUACCUAAUCAGAAAGCCACGGCUAACUACGUG
This 497-nucleotide ribosomal RNA is filed under the name uncultured bacterium. RNAcentral's name for it is "partial 16S ribosomal RNA". It matches the Rfam family "Bacterial small subunit ribosomal RNA", at positions 28 to 507 of the family's 1533-position model. The record is from RNAcentral.